CACAUGUCUGAGCACACAUAAGGGACUCUGUGAAUAUGUGUGUAUUUGUUGUGUGCAUGCCCGCAGAAUGGGAUACAGAGACUCACUCUAUUCAUCAGGGAUUUGUUUUAAUCAGGAAUUGGCAGGCAUGGGAAGAGCACGCUGUCCAGGGUCGGCAAGGCCUGGAAAUGUCAGAGCAUCAGAAUACUGAAAAUAAAAGACAUGGUUAAAUCUAUUUUGGUGGCGAGGCUGGGGACACUGGGAAUAUGAUACUGAUCAAUCUAGAAUGUGUGGAGGAGUGGACAGCAGUUUUUAAUCAGACAAGACCUUCAACCCCGGCACAGACCAUCAAUUGGCAGGUGUUAAAACAGACCAAAAUGUGUUCUCCCGCCCAGAAGCAAGCAAAGCCAACCCCAGCUGCAGUUCCCUGACAGUCCAGUGAAUUCAGCCAAAGGAAAUGGCCCCACAUGGAGGGCAAGUGACAGAAGACCUGAUGACUCCGGUGGCUCAGCGGAGAGUGCAUUAAUAGGCUUGACCACUUCUGCUCGAUCUUCAGGCAAGCUGGGUCUGACCCCUGGACACUGUCCCCUGGAGCCCCUGGCCUCCACGUGUCCACCCACUGCCAUGGUCAUGGCUCCUCAGCAGGAGGAGGCCCAGCAGCCUCCAGGUGCCCCUGCCUGGUGCUAGCUGCCCACCGAAGCUCUAGCCUCACACUCUCAGGUUCAAAUCCAGCGACAAGAGCGGAUCCCACAAAGGCCACGAGAGUCACCCUAAACGGUCAGCUUAGGUCCUUCGUUCACUGAGCCCAUCGCUGUCCAGGGCAAGUGGUGCUGGCUGGGCUAGGUCCAGCUCCCGUGUCCACCCUGGGACCUGAGGUUCAGGGUCAGCUCACCCUAGACACAUGGAUCGAGUGGGGAGGGUGAAUCCUCAAAUGCUAAUCAGGUUCUGUUGUACAGAAGGGGAAGCGGAGGCAGGAGGAUGCAGCAAGACCUGUUCCCUCCUCUAACGGCACUCAUAGGACAGCCCAGCCACACAUUCAAAGAAUCUUGAAGGAAUAGGAUGGUUGGUAUGGUUGGUGUGGAAGAAGGUUCAUAAAUUCUGGAUUUAGCUUUGUGGGAUUCAGCUGACCUGAAAUUUAUACCUGUGCAGAUGGGAGAGGAGGAAGGAGGAGGUGAGAGCAGGAAAGAGCUUACAUAAAAGACCACAUUUUCCCAGAAUCCCCAGCAGCUGCCUGUUCUCCCCCUCCACUGGGCUAGAGCUGUGUCACACAGGCUGAGCGGCCAGGAAGCUGGGCACCAUCCAGGGAGUGUGUGAUCGUCGGGGUCCUGUUGAUUCCUGCUUUUGAGUAAUGAAGGUGACCAAACCACAUGACCCUGUCUGCAAAGAUUCCACCUGGACUCCCAGUUCCUCCAAGGAACCGUCAUGUGGUUCAAAUCCAAUGAAAUUCUCUAAAUCUCCACCCUCCUCAGGGUGCAGAGUUGGCUGCUUCUCUGUGCCCCCUGCUGAUCACGGCAACCCCUGGGUGCCUCGGCCUGCGAAGCCCCAGCUGUCCUCCGUCUGCAGACAAGCCGAGGUAUGAAAGCCUCCUCGCUGGCCCAGGAGCCUGUCAUUGUCCUCCAGCAGCUCUAGCCUGGAUGCGGUCCCAGAGAUAAAUCAUAUCUCUUUAAAAAGCCACAGUGGCCCAUUAUUUCUGCUUGAAAAUACCCCUGGCUCUCUGCUGGUGAGCUGGUUGACAGGCCCCGGCUGUUGUGCUCAGUGCUGCAAAGAGUCACGUCAGUCUGUCGACUUGUGUAGUGAGCAAGCUGGUAGCUUCAGAUGGUAUGCACAUGAAAUCCCGUCCUGGCAUCCAGGACUUGGCUGGGGGUUGCAGAGAGAACCACAUCUGCAAAAGAGUUGGUAUUUUACAGUCCCAGCCUCACGUCCUUGUGAAAUGCCCUGUUCAUACUGGGCUACAGGGGCGGGAGCAAAAAUGAUACAAUGACAAUUCCUGGGCUGUGUUCUGCAAUAUUCUACAACACUUCCACAAGAAAACUCCAAUCUUUAAAAAUAGACUGAGCACAAUUAAACAAUCACUAUAGAUAUUUCUUUUCUUUUUUUUUUUUUUGAGAUGGAGUCU
Molecule: long non-coding RNA, 2095 nt
Filed under: Homo sapiens (human)
Lineage: Eukaryota; Metazoa; Chordata; Mammalia; Primates; Hominidae
Description: HSALNT0401388
Source: RNAcentral